UGUAUCCUUUGGGCAGAUUCCUAACAGUGCUAUUGUUGGGUCAUAGGGUAGUUCUAUUUUUAAUUGUUUGAGGAACCUCCAGGCUGCUUUCCAGAGUGGCUGCACCAGUUUGCAUUCCCACCAGCAGUGCAAGAGGGUUCCCGUUUCUCCACAUCCUCGCCAGCAUCUAUAGGCUCCUGAUUUGUUCAUUAUAGCCACUCUGACUGGCAUGAGGUUCACCAAGAGCCAGUGCGGUCCUUCCAACCAUGGUCAUCCCUUGGCUCUCAAGGGAGGGACAGCCCAGCGCCAUUUCCUCCAUCCAAAUCUGGCUGCGGUGCCUGAUCCCGCACAACCACAGGCAUCUCCCAGAGGCAUUUUCCGGAAUGCGUGGAUGUUGUGAGUUUGGGUCCAGAACACUGCAAUAAAAUGAAUGCCACUACCAAGCAGCUCAAAUGAAUCCUUUGGAUUCCUAGUGGGAAUGAAAGUUAUCACUUGACUGGAGUCUGCCAUGCGCAAUAGCAUUAUGUUGAAAAAAAUAACAAAAAUACCAUAAUUAAAAAGCACUUUAUGGUUUUUAA
Long non-coding RNA from Panthera uncia (snow leopard), 557 nucleotides. RefSeq lists it as uncharacterized. NCBI's taxonomy places the organism in Eukaryota, Metazoa, Chordata, Mammalia, Carnivora, Felidae. The record is from RefSeq and is a predicted model, not a curated record. The transcript is spliced from 2 exons.